This 563-nucleotide ribosomal RNA is filed under the name uncultured bacterium. RNAcentral describes it as "bacterial SSU rRNA". It matches the Rfam family "Bacterial small subunit ribosomal RNA", at positions 338 to 913 of the family's 1533-position model. The record is from RNAcentral.
CCUACGGGAGGCAGCAGUGGGGAAUAUUGGGCAAUGGAGGAAACUCUGACCCAGCGACGCCGCGUGCGGGAUGAAGGCCUUCGGGUUGUAAACCGCUUUCAGUAGGGAAGAAGCGAAAGUGACGGUACCUACAGAAGAAGCACCGGCUAACUAUGUGCCAGCAGCCGCGGUAAUACAUAGGGUGCAAGCGUUGUCCGGAAUUAUUGGGCGUAAAGAGCUCGUAGGUGGUUCGUCACGUCGGAUGUGAAAAUCUGGGGCUCAACCCCAGACCUGCAUUCGAUACGGGCGAUCUAGGGUGUGGUAGGGGAGACUGGAAUUCCUGGUGUAGCGGUGGAAUGCGCAGAUAUCAGGAGGAACACCAAUGGCGAAGGCAGGUCUCUGGGCCAUUACUGACACUGAGGAGCGAAAGCGUGGGGAGCGAACAGGAUUAGAUACCCUGGUAGUCCACGCCGUAAACGGUGGGCACUAGUUGUGGGAACCUUCCACGGUUUCUGCGACGCAGCUAACGCAUUAAGUGCCCCGCCUGGGGAGUCGAUCGCAAGNUUAAAACUCAAAUGAAUUGA